ACGGGUGCGGAACACGUACGCAACCUUCCUUCAAGCGGGGAAUAGCCCAGAGAAAUUUGGAUUAAUACCCCAUAGGAAUGUAGUCUCGCAUGAGACAGCAUUUAAAGAUUUAUCACUUGAAGAUGGGCGUGCGUCUGAUUAGGUAGUUGGUGAGGUAACGGCUCACCAAGCCGACGAUCAGUAACUGGCGUGAGAGCGCGACCAGUCACACGGGCACUGAGACACGGGCCCGACUCCUACGGGAGGCAGCAGUAAGGAAUAUUGGUCAAUGGACGCAAGUCUGAACCAGCCAUGCCGCGUGGAGGAUGAAGGCCCUCUGGGUUGUAAACUUCUUUUAUCUGGGACGAAACACUUCUUAUCUAAGGAGCUUGACGGUACCAGAUGAAUAAGCACCGGCUAACUCCGUGCCAGCAGCCGCGGUAAUACGGAGGGUGCAAGCGUUAUCCGGAUUCACUGGGUUUAAAGGGUGCGUAGGCGGACUUGUAAGUCCGUGGUGAAAUCUCCGAGCUUAACUCGGAAACUGCCAUGGAUACUAUAAGUCUUGAAUAUUGUGGAGGUUAGCGGAAUAGUUCAUGUAGCGGUGAAA
This 586-nucleotide ribosomal RNA is filed under the name uncultured bacterium. RNAcentral's name for it is "bacterial SSU rRNA". It matches the Rfam family "Bacterial small subunit ribosomal RNA", at positions 102 to 686 of the family's 1533-position model. The record is from RNAcentral.